This 492-nucleotide ribosomal RNA is filed under the name uncultured bacterium. RNAcentral's name for it is "partial 16S ribosomal RNA". It matches the Rfam family "Bacterial small subunit ribosomal RNA", at positions 29 to 507 of the family's 1533-position model. The record is from RNAcentral.
AGUGAACGCUGGCGGUAGGCCUAACACAUGCAAGUCGAACGGCAGCACAGUAAGAGCUUGCUCUUACGGGUGGCGAGUGGCGGACGGGUGAGCAAUACAUCGGAAUCUACUUUUUCGUGGGGGAUAACGUAGGGAAACUUACGCUAAUACCGCAUACGACCUACGGGUGAAAGCAGGGGAUCUUCGGACCUUGCGCGAUUGAAUGAGCCGAUGUCGGAUUAGCUAGUUGGCGGGGUAAAGGCCCACCAAGGCGACGAUCCGUAGCUGGUCUGAGAGGAUGAUCAGCCACACUGGAACUGAGACACGGUCCAGACUCCUACGGGAGGCAGCAGUGGGGAAUAUUGGACAAUGGGCGCAAGCCUGAUCCAGCCAUACCGCGUGGGUGAAGAAGGCCUUCGGGUUGUAAAGCCCUUUUGUUGAGAAAGAAAAGCAGCAGGUUAAUACCCCGCUGUUCUGACGGUACCCAAAGAAUAAGCACCGGCUAACUUCGUG